This 635-nucleotide long non-coding RNA is filed under the name Gallus gallus (chicken). Its description in RNAcentral is "lncRNA (ENSGALG00010022993.1)". Lineage: Eukaryota; Metazoa; Chordata; Aves; Galliformes; Phasianidae. The record is from RNAcentral.
CGGAGCCCCGCGCGGCCGCCGCCCCCGUCGGAGCCCCGCUCCAACCCGGGCCCCGUUGUACCUCGGGCCGUCUCUCUUCCCUCACACCUCAGCCCGAACUCGACGCACCCCGGCCCCACCACACCUCAGGGAAUGCAGCCGGGGUUGGAAGGGACCUGAAACUUGUAGCUCUGCGCAAGACCUCCUGAACUUCAAAUGCUGUCUCCAAGGGCGGUGUCCAAAUGCUUCUCCAACUCCAUCAGUCCGGGCCUGUGACUGUAGUCCCAGGGCUCUUGUUCUGGUACCCAACCACCCUCUGAUUCUUCUCCAAAGAAAUGAAUAUCCCUUCAGCAAGUCAGAACAAAACCCGAGCCCCUCUUUGUAUUCCGAAUCCAGAAGCAUUCGAUUCUGCUAAGCAAGGUGAAACAACGCGUUUGUAUCCAUCUCACGGCUCUCCUGCCCGAGUUUUUCCUUCGCGCUGAGCAUCAGCCUGCAAUCUUCGGUAGUUCCGGUAGAGGGCAAUACAGUAAAGCCAUUUAUAGAAGGCUCCUCAAGGCAGUUGCCGUAACUAGGCGCUACAGAAUGCCAUAGGCUUUCUGUAGCGAAAGGGUCGGUGUUCUAAUGCCAGAUAUUUACAAUUAAAUCUGCUUUUGAAC